GAUGAACGCUAGCGGCAGGCUUAAUACAUGCAAGUCGUGGGGCAGCAUGAGUAGCAAUACUUGAUGGCGACCGGCAAACGGGUGAGGAACACGUACACAACCUUCCUUCAAGCGGGGAAUAGCCCAGAGAAAUUUGGAUUAAUACCCCAUAAUAUAUUUGAUAAGGCAUCUUAUUAAUAUUAAAGCUUCGGCACUUGAUGAUGGGUGUGCGGCUGAUUAGAUAGUUGGCGGGUAACGGCCCACCAAGUCUACGAUCAGUAGCUGAUGUGAGAGCAUGAUCAGCCACACGGGCACUGAGACACGGGCCCGACUCCUACGGGAGGCAGCAGUAAGGAAUAUUGGACAAUGGACGAAAGUCUGAUCCAGCCAUGCCGCGUGAAGGAUUAAGGUCCUCUGGAUUGUAACUUCUUUAUAUGGGACGAAAAAGGGGCAAUUUCUUGUUCACUUGACGGUACCAUAUGAAUAAGACACCGGCUAACUCCGUGCCAGCA
This 491-nucleotide ribosomal RNA is filed under the name uncultured bacterium. RNAcentral describes it as "bacterial SSU rRNA". It matches the Rfam family "Bacterial small subunit ribosomal RNA", at positions 28 to 513 of the family's 1533-position model. The record is from RNAcentral.